GGGGGUGAACAGGGUUCGACGGGAGUGGCAGAGGUAAUGACAGCAGUCCGGAGUUGGUCGAUGGCUCCGCAAAAAUCGACUGAAAAAUAAACAACAAAACUGUUGUUAAUGUACAGCCAACGCUAAAGACUUUUGGCUUUAGCCCUAUGACUGUAUUUUCAAUUGCUGCUUAACGCAGCUUCGUUUUACCUUAGACACAUGCUAUAGGGAUAAAACGACAAGAGCAUGUUAGUUUUAAGCGGCUUGUGCCGUCAGUUUAAAAUGAAAAUAAAACGGCACUGGUUUAUAACGUAGUACCGUCCGAUUACGGCGUUAUAAACGAGAUAAAUUUUCGGACUAAGCCUGUAG
RNAcentral lists this transfer-messenger RNA (348 nucleotides) under Candidatus Endomicrobiellum devescovinae. RNAcentral describes it as "partial transfer-messenger RNA". It matches the Rfam family "transfer-messenger RNA", at positions 1 to 319 of the family's 374-position model. Rfam says of the family: Bacterial tmRNA, also known as 10Sa RNA or SsrA, is named for its dual tRNA and mRNA-like properties. The record is from RNAcentral. Lineage: Bacteria; Pseudomonadati; Elusimicrobiota; Endomicrobiia; Endomicrobiales; Endomicrobiaceae.